Molecule: ribosomal RNA, 497 nt
Filed under: uncultured bacterium
Lineage: Bacteria
Description: partial 16S ribosomal RNA
Rfam family: Bacterial small subunit ribosomal RNA
Source: RNAcentral
GAUGAACGCUGGCGGCGUGCCUAAUACAUGCAAGUCGAGCGAACGGACGAGAAGCUUGCUUCUCUGAUGUUAGCGGCGGACGGGUGAGUAACACGUGGAUAACCUACCUAUAAGACUGGGAUAACUUCGGGAAACCGGAGCUAAUACCGGAUGAUAUUUUGAACCGCAUGGUUCAAAAGUGAAAGACGGUCUUGCUGUCACUUAUAGAUGGAUCCGCGCUGCAUUAGCUAGUUGGUAAGGUAACGGCUUACCAAGGCAACGAUGCAUAGCCGACCUGAGAGGGUGGUCGGCGCCACUGGAACUGAGACACGGUCCAGACUCCUACGGGAGGCAGCAGUAGGGAAUCUUCCGCAAAGGGCGAAAGCCUGACGGAGCAACGCCGCGUGAGUGAUGAAGGUCUUCGGAUCGUAAAACUCUGUUAUUAGGGAAGAACAUAUGUGUAAGUAACUGUGCACAUCUUGACGGUACCUACUCAGAAAGCCACGGCUAACUACGUG